AGCAAUCAAUCAUCUAGGAAUCACGUUUUAACAAUCCCUAUAUCAUCAGAUGAUGUUUCUUCAUGUUGCUUGUCUGACUGUGAAUCCAUCCUCAAUGGUCGUUGAACAAGCGAUGCUUCAUGGCUUGAUGAGGUAAACAUGAUGAUGGACAAAAGAGAUUUGAAGAAGAAAAAAGAAGGUAAGAAGAAGAAGCUAAAGAAAGUAGAAGAAGCGAAAGAAAAGAAAGAAUAGGGGUUGGAAAAGUCUACAACUUUGUAAUUUUUAUUCAAUUCAUCAAUAAUUGUUAAGCAUUUAGAAAAAAGAAGCUAAGAAGAAGAAGCUAAAGAAAGUAGAAGAAGCGAAAGAAAAGAAAG
This 353-nucleotide long non-coding RNA is filed under the name Populus tremula. Its description in RNAcentral is "long non-coding RNA (PTRE_LNC000173)". Lineage: Eukaryota; Viridiplantae; Streptophyta; Magnoliopsida; Malpighiales; Salicaceae. The record is from RNAcentral.